CGGAUUAUAGAUCAUUCCGGAUUAUGGACAUCCGGAUUAAAGACUUUUGACUAAUAAUAAUGCAUUAUAAAAGACUGCAAUGGUCAGCCUCAAUGUAACUUUUUGCAAUCUUUUUAUCAGUUUCCUUUAUAAUGCAAUGUUUUGCAAUCACUUUAUCAGUUUCCUUCUAUUGAAACUUUCAAGCAUUAUUUCACAGCAUUAUCGUACACAACUUUUGCUGUUUGUAAACUUCGUUUUUAUUUUUAGAUUUCUGAGUGUAAUAUUUUACAGAAAUUUUAAAAAAAAAAAAAAAAAAUCCCACCUCUCACAUCCCGUAAAUUUUUAUUGUAGCAUUGCAUUAAAUGUACAGCAAGUGUCAUUUUAAACUUCUCAUUUGCAAAACCUUCACCUCAUUAGUUUUCCAAAUGUUCAGCUCUGUGGGCCAAGCAAUAGUCUAAUCUUCACUAAUGAAACUGGCUAUCUGUGCAUAAUUUCUCAUGCAUUUAUGUACACAUAAUUGUAAUAAUUAAAAUCAUUACAAUUAACUUUAUGGACAAACAAACCAACUUUUAUGGAGAAAAUAUGCUAUUGUGAACAGUCCCUAUUGAGAAUAUGAAAAGUUUCUUUAAAAGACCAUAUUUAUGUGCCAUAUAAUUUGUAAUAUCACCAAACAUAAAGCUGUUAUCUAUAAUUUUGUGAUAUUUUAUUAUUCUGUGAAACAUUAGUAAGCUGAUUUUUUAAUUCAGUGGUUGCGCCUCUUGAAUUAUAGUCACUUUAUGUAAUAUUUGAACUCAUGUGAAAGAAGCUGAAAUAUUAAAUUUUUGGAAACAAAAAUCAAUUUUUUAACUUCAUGUUUUUAAUAAAAGGCAAUUUUCAUUACUUGAAAUUUUUAACUAAUAAUUUUUCUUUAAAUUUUUAGUUGGUUAUGACUUCUAUGGAGAAGAAAUUUUUUAUAGUGGAACUUCUGGUGAAGAACUAGAAGCUGCUGUGUUUUGUGGCUCAGCGUAUUAUUUAAAAUUGUGCCAUAUUGUUGAAGAAAAAUAUCAAGUUUGCAGUGUAGGAGAGGUUGAUCCUAAAACUCAACAGCCAGUAAAUCUUGGAAAAUCAGGUGCUGUUCGUUUCGGUGAAAUGGAGAGAGAUGCAAUUCUCUCACAUGGUGCAGUUAAACUGACUAUGGAUCGUUUGUUGCAUAAUAGUGAUAAAUACACAGCAUAUAUUUGUUUAAGAUGUCAUACAAUGCUAUAUCCAGUUCUUCAGCAUGCGGAAGAAAAUCUACAUGAUAAUUUAAAAGAAAAUAAGACCUGCAAUGUAUGCAGGAAAUCAAAAGUUCACAAGAUAUGCAUUCCAUACGUAUUAGUUUAUCUUAUAGCUGAACUUUCAGUUAUGGGCAUAAAAGUGGAAUUUUGUACUGAGGAUAAUUGCAAUAACAUUAUUCCUUAAUGUGUAUGCAAAUGAUAAUAGAUAUUGUGAAAAUUUUAUUGCAAUCUUAAAACCACUUGCAGUGUUAUUUGAGUUUGAUUUUCUAUUAUUCUAUGAGGGUAGAAUUUCAUUUUAAAUCUAAUACUUUUAUGUAUUAUUUUGUAUAUUUAUUUUAUUUUAUUUUAUUUUAUUUAUUUUUUUUUUUUUUCUGUUCAAAAGCCAAUCAAAUUAGAAUUGAGGGAAAGUGCCUUAAACAAAAGAUACUCUGCUUGAUAACAAAAUUAAUAUGAAAAUAAAGAGGAACGAAAGAAGAGAAAAGUGGUGAUAAGAUUGAAUAUUCUGGAAUACACAGUAAAGAAAAAUAAAGUAAAUCAUCCCUCUGUGUUCAAAUGUGGAACUAAUUCUGAUUUUUCUUCAGCAAAAUCAAAAGUUCUUUAGGUUACUUUUGCUAAACAUGUUAUUAUUUAUACAAAAAAUAAAAUGAAAUUUCCUCUAAAAACUAUAAUUAAAUUAUUUGAUGUUCUUUGAUUUUGAGAAUAAGAAGAUUAUGAACAGAAUAAGAGGGAAAAGGUAACUUCAUAGGAAUUUAUUUGUGCAAUUCUAUCAAUUGAACCAAGAUAAAAGUAUUUCUAGUUCCUUGAUAAUCUGAUUUUCGUAAAUUUUUAUAAAUAUUUUUUGGUUUCUGCACCAAGGCAAGACGAUGACAGAAGUUGAAAAAGUUGGCAAGAUAUCAGAAAACUUUUGUAUAAAAUGUGUACAUAUUUGAAAUAUUUUUUCCCAGUUCCUUGAUAAUCUGAUUUUCGUAAAUUUUUAUAAAUAUUUUUCAGUUUCUGCAGCAAGGCAAGUUGGCAAGAUAUCAGAAAUUUUUUGUAUAAAUCGUGUACAUAUUUGAAAUAUUUUGUAAAGUUUAUGCUUAUUAAAAAUUUUAUGAAUGUG
Molecule: long non-coding RNA, 2334 nt
Filed under: Stegodyphus dumicola
Lineage: Eukaryota; Metazoa; Arthropoda; Arachnida; Araneae; Eresidae
Description: uncharacterized LOC118182394
Source: RNAcentral